AAGGGCACCACAAGAACGCGUGGAGCAUGUGGCUUAAUUUGACUCAACGCGGGAAAUCUUACCGGGUCCGGACACACUGAGGAUUGACAGGCAAUAUUAAAACAGUUUCUUCUGAUUCUGUUUUAUGUUAAAUAUGCUAGUCCUUUCAUGAUUAUGUGAUAGGUGGUGCAUGGCCGUUCUUAGUUCGUGGAGUGAUCUGUCUGCUUAAUUGCGUUUCACUAAGGACUCUGUUUUACGUGUGUUGCAGCUAGCUCUGACCCUUAACUGUGUGUCUUUGUUUAGUCUGCUCACACAUCUGAGUCCUCAAUGCAACGAACGUGACCGCAACCUCUUGUUGCCUUUAGCUCCUGCAGUUUUUCUCUUCGGAGAUUCUCUGCAUUAAAGGCUCUUUAAAACUAGAGGGACCGCUGUAAUCUUUUUAAACCAGAGGAAGGUUGCGGCAAUAACAGGUCUGUGAUGCCCUUAGAUGUUCCGGGCUGCACACGUGCUACAAUGAUUGUUGCAGUGAGCAUCUCAAUUGAUACACCGCUUGCGUAGUGGCUAAUUUCGGUUAGUUCAUUUUACGCGCGGUAAAGCCUACUUCGAAAGUAAGUGGGUAAUCAAUUAGAAGUAACGAUUUCCCUUUAGCACAUCUAUGUACGGCUGUUAUGUCCGACUGAGCUUGUCUCAGUUUUGCGUACAUUUCAGUUUUCCGUACGUGCAACUGUUAAUUCAUGGUGGGGACAGACCAUUGUUAAUUGUUGGUCUCGGUCUCAACUAGGAAUGCCUUGUACGGGUCUUUGGUUCAACAGACCACCCGGAAUACGUCCCUGCCCUUUGUACACACCGCCCGUCA
Molecule: ribosomal RNA, 835 nt
Filed under: Foraminifera environmental sample
Lineage: Eukaryota; Foraminifera
Description: SSU rRNA
Rfam family: Eukaryotic small subunit ribosomal RNA
Source: RNAcentral